CCUACGGGAGGCAGCAGUAGGGAAUCUUCCACAAUGGGCGAAAGCCUGAUGGAGCAACGCCGCGUGGGUGAAGAAGGUCUUCGGAUCGUAAAACCCUGUUGUUAGAGAAGAAAGUGCGUGAGAGUAACUGUUCACGUUUCGACGGUAUCUAACCAGAACGCCACGGCUAACUACGUGCCAGCAGCCGCGGUAAUACGUAGGUGGCAAGCGUUAUCCGGAUUGAUUGGGCGUAAAGGGAACGCAGGCGGUCUUUUAAGUCUGAUGUGAAAGCCUUCGGCUUAACCGGAGUAGUGCAUUGGAAACUGGGAGACUUGAGUGCAGAAGAGGAGAGUGGAACUCCAUGUGUAGCGGUGAAAUGCGUAGAUAUAUGGAAGAACACCAGUGGCGAAAGCGGCUCUCUGGUCUGUAACUGACGCUGAGGUUCGAAAGCGUGGGUAGCAAACAGGAUUAGAUACCCUAGUAGUC
This 465-nucleotide ribosomal RNA is filed under the name uncultured bacterium. Its description in RNAcentral is "partial 16S ribosomal RNA". It matches the Rfam family "Bacterial small subunit ribosomal RNA", at positions 338 to 795 of the family's 1533-position model. The record is from RNAcentral.